This 255-nucleotide ribosomal RNA is filed under the name uncultured bacterium. Its description in RNAcentral is "partial 16S ribosomal RNA". It matches the Rfam family "Bacterial small subunit ribosomal RNA", at positions 524 to 777 of the family's 1533-position model. The record is from RNAcentral.
UACGGGGGGGGCAAGCGUUGUUCGGAAUUACUGGGCGUAAAGGGCCAGUAGGCGGCCAACUAAGUCCGACGUGAAAUCCCAAGGCUUAACCUUGGAACUGCGUCGGAUACUGGAUGGCUUGAAUUCGGGAGAGGGAUGCAGGAAUUCCAGGUGUAGCGGUGAAAUGCGUAGAUAUCUGGAGGAAUACCGGUGGCGAAGGCGGCAUCCUGGACCGACAUUGACGCUGAACGGCGAAAGCUAGGGGAGCGAAACGGG